This 444-nucleotide unclassified non-coding RNA is filed under the name Hevea brasiliensis (rubber tree). Lineage: Eukaryota; Viridiplantae; Streptophyta; Magnoliopsida; Malpighiales; Euphorbiaceae. The record is from RNAcentral.
UGCGCGGUUUCAUAGUUUCAAGGUAAUGCAUUACACUAUAUAUUCAUGCAUUUUAUUCUCGUUUCAUUCCCAUUAUUGUCGAACAAACUAAAAUGCAAGUGCCAUUAGGCAGUGUUUAAUAAUUUAGGAAACCGAAGCAAUGACAGAAACCCAAUGGUGAUUCUUGCAGGAAAGGAAUGCGAUGAGAAUAAAGAAAGAAGAGAUCAAAUGUUGAUGCGGAGAAAAAGAAAGCGAGUUUCCGCGUUUGCUUUAGCAUAUGCUAUCUCCUUUUAGAAGAAAAAUUAAUAAAGGCGUGCAUGUUUGAAGGAUAAAAGUGUUCAUCAUUUCAUUUCAUGUACUGGAAAGUUGUAGCUUUUGAUCCUGUUGAAAACUAUAUAUAUAAAUUAUGUGCUUUUCAACCUUCUCUUAUUAAUGAAAGAUUUUUCAUAUUUAUCAGAAUAAAAA